GACGAACGCUGGCGGCGUGCUUAACACAUGCAAGUCGAACGGUGAAGCGCCUUCCUUUUUGGUGGGUGUGGAUGAGUGGCGAACGGGUGAGUAACACGUGAGUAACCUGCCCCCUUCUUCUGGAUAACCGCAUGAAAGUGUGGCUAAUACGGGAUAUUCUGGGUCUGUCGCAUGAUGGGUCUGGGAAAGAUAUUGUUUCGGUGGGGGAUGGGCUCGCGGCCUAUCAGCUUGUUGGUGGGGUGAUGGCCUACCAAGGCGGUGACGGGUAGCCGGCCUGAGAGGGUGGACGGUCACAAUGGGACUGAGACACGGCCCAGACUCCUACGGGAGGCAGCAGUGGGGAAUAUUGCACAAUGGGCGCAAGCCUGAUGCAGCGAAGCCGCGUGAGGGAUGGAGGCCUUCGGGUUGUGAACCUCUUUCGCCAGUGAAGCAGGCCUGCCUCGUUUGUGGGUGGGUUGACGGUAGCUGGAUAAGAAGCGCCGGCUAACUACGUG
This 494-nucleotide ribosomal RNA is filed under the name uncultured bacterium. Its description in RNAcentral is "partial 16S ribosomal RNA". It matches the Rfam family "Bacterial small subunit ribosomal RNA", at positions 28 to 507 of the family's 1533-position model. The record is from RNAcentral.